CAGGAAGAACACUUUGCUGAAACUUUACAGGCAUUUCUUAAAAGAGCACUUAGUCUUCCCAAGUCCUGAAAGAUGUCGAGUUAGCUUCUAGGAUUCUGAUCUACUUCACCUCCUUGUUUAGGGACGCACCGCAAGGAGAGGAAGUAUGUACCUAGCUGGAAGUAGGAGUCUUUUCGCUCAGGGAGAUUGGCCAAAUCUGGUGCUGUGCUGGAGAUCCUACAUGAGACCUCUGUUUGCCACUCUUCCAGGAAGAGCAGGUACUCUCUCAGGAGCCGAGUGCAUGGACACAUAGCACAUCACACCUCCUGAUUCUGGGGUUUCACGUUUUGGCUUCUUCAUCCUCAGAU
This 347-nucleotide long non-coding RNA is filed under the name Chinchilla lanigera (long-tailed chinchilla). RNAcentral's name for it is "lncRNA (ENSCLAG00000026545.1)". The record is from RNAcentral. Lineage: Eukaryota; Metazoa; Chordata; Mammalia; Rodentia; Chinchillidae.